This 552-nucleotide ribosomal RNA is filed under the name uncultured bacterium. Its description in RNAcentral is "partial 16S ribosomal RNA". The record is from RNAcentral.
CCGUCAAUUCCUUUGAGUUUCAGCCUUGCGGCCGUACUUCCCAGGUGGCUCGCUUCACGGCUUCCCUACGGCACCGACAACGGUCGCACCGUGGCCGACACCUAGCGAGUAUCGUUUACGGCUAGGACUACCCGGGUAUCUAAUCCGGUUCGUGCCCCUAGCUUUCGUCCCUUGCCGUCAGGUCCGUUCUGGUGAGACGCCUUCGCCACUGGUGGUCCUUCAAGGAUUACAAGAUUUCACCCCUACCCCUGAAGUACCUCUCACCUCUCCCGGCCUCGAGCCGAACAGUAUCUCCUGAAAGCCCAACAGUUGAGCUGCUGGAUUUCUCAAGAGACUUAUCCGGCCGGCUACAGACCCUUUAGACCCAAUAAUAACGGUUACCACUCGAGCCGCCGGUGUUACCGCGGCGGCUGGCACCGGUCUUGCCCGGCCCUUGCUAUGCAAUGCUUUUUAGGCAUCACGACAGCCAGAUUUGUAACCUGGCACUCGAGGUCCCCUUAUCGCCGUUGCCGGCAUUGUAGAGUUUUCGCGCCUGCUGCCUCCCGUAGGAGU